RNAcentral lists this ribosomal RNA (57 nucleotides) under Plestiodon brevirostris (shortnose skink). RNAcentral's name for it is "partial 16S ribosomal RNA". The record is from RNAcentral. Lineage: Eukaryota; Metazoa; Chordata; Lepidosauria; Squamata; Scincidae.
AAUAACUGAACAAAGCUAAAGUUAGACAGCUACCACCACGACCAGAGAUCGUGGUCU